GAGAGCUCUCAUUUUCCCCCCUUGCUCGGGAUGGUGCCACAGGAGGCUGUGCGGGCCCCGCUCCGCUUCGAAUGGAUACAGUUAAGCUAAUGAUCUCGAGAGGAUAUCGUCCUGGAUAAGGGUGGAGCCUACGCCCAAAAACAAGAUUACCUGAAAGAGAAAAGAAAGGGGGAAAACACACAGAGAUACAGUCGGGGAGGCCACAUGAAGAUGGAGGCAGAGACAGGAGUGAUGAGCCUGCAAGCCAAGGAAUGCCAAGGGCUGCCAGCAGCCAUGAGAAGCUGAGAGACACAGAGAACGAGUCCUCUGCCAGAGCCUCCAGAAGGAACUAACCCUGUCAAUACCUUGAUUUCGGACUUCUGGACUCCAGAACUAUAACCCUCCUUCCUCCACCUCACAAAAACUCACAAGCUGCAACCCUUCUGAUGUCCACUCCCACACAAACCAGCUUCAGGCCUUUUUCAAGCUUGCUUGGAGAAUACUUCUGAGACUUUCCAAGAGUGCAGGAAAUUCUACCCCCCAAGUAUGGCACCUUGGCAUGCUGAGUAUUUUAAGCUGAAGGAAACAGAGAAAACCACAGAAGCAGAAAGGUCUUUCUGACCUCUCUUGAAGACCCUCAUGUGACAGGUGUCCUGCCCUACAUCCAGAGAGAAGGAAUGUUCCACAGACAGACUAAGAAGAAUCUGAAGAAUCAGGCCUUACUAAGUGCCCUCCAGUGGAUGCUGUGGGGCACCACCUCCUUGAGGACCAAGGCACUCCAGCUGCCAGGAAUUUGGCUGCUAACCUCACACAGCUGAGCCUUCCAUGAAAAUUGCUCUCUGCCAAAGAGAACUUCCUAGUCCAAGGUCAUGUCUACUCUCCAGAGAAAUGCACUGACCCUGCACUCUACAGGACACUAUGCUCAUUCCGAAUGCUAAGAUGUGACUGGAGUGAUUUGCACCCGGAUGCCUAGACUCGCCAUCUGCUCAAAGACUGCUCAGAAAGCCCUCCCAUGCAUUCCCCUGCUGCAUACCAGCCCACUCUGCCUGCAGCUGCUGUCUGCAGGACUUCAUAUCUAUGCCACACUGUGUAAAAGCUGUGCUUCAAGAAAUCACAAAAACAUUUUCCUGCACCUACUACACAGCCUGAGUGCGGCAUAAGUUGACCUUGCUUGCUAAGAAAUGGGGCAAGAAAUGCUUUUUUGUGUGUGUCAUGUCUGUUUGUUUUUCAAUUAAGAGAGGAAAGCAUUAGGCAGAUGGAAUGUACAUGUGAGGAUGAGGAGACAGAAAACAAGUAGCCCUUUCCAUCAAGAUAGAGGGUUUUCUGGGGUUGCUGGCUAUUGAAUGUCACUCCUGAUUUCUCUUUCCAAGGCACUGUACCACCAGCCUACUGAGAUUGUGUGGGAGCUUUCAUGGGGGUUGUAUUUCACUGAUGAAAAUAAAUUUUUUGCAUAAU
Molecule: long non-coding RNA, 1434 nt
Filed under: Homo sapiens (human)
Lineage: Eukaryota; Metazoa; Chordata; Mammalia; Primates; Hominidae
Description: mir-100-let-7a-2-mir-125b-1 cluster host gene
Source: RNAcentral